RNAcentral lists this non-coding RNA (23 nucleotides) under Arabidopsis thaliana (thale cress). Lineage: Eukaryota; Viridiplantae; Streptophyta; Magnoliopsida; Brassicales; Brassicaceae. RNAcentral also lists the same sequence under 3 other names. The record is from RNAcentral.
AGACUAAUCGAACCAUCUAGUAG